RNAcentral lists this transfer RNA (75 nucleotides) under Phycisphaerales bacterium. Its description in RNAcentral is "tRNA-Glu". It matches the Rfam family "tRNA". Rfam says of the family: Transfer RNA (tRNA) molecules are approximately 80 nucleotides in length. Their secondary structure includes four short double-helical elements and three loops (D, anti-codon, and T loops). The record is from RNAcentral. Lineage: Bacteria; Pseudomonadati; Planctomycetota; Phycisphaerae; Phycisphaerales.
GACCCCAUCGUCUAGCCCGGUCUAGGACACCUCCCUUUCACGGAGAAAACAGGGGUUCGAAUCCCCUUGGGGUCA